Long non-coding RNA from Oncorhynchus tshawytscha (Chinook salmon), 836 nucleotides. RefSeq lists it as uncharacterized. The record is from RefSeq and is a predicted model, not a curated record. Lineage: Eukaryota; Metazoa; Chordata; Actinopteri; Salmoniformes; Salmonidae. The transcript has 2 exons.
GUUUACUUCCUGGUUGCACCAUGAGAAGACGCUGGCUGCAUCAAAGCUCCCAAACAAAAGUUUCACUUUGUGUCAAGUUCUGGAUAUGUUGGAUCUAGGUGACUGCUCAGACAAGGCUAGCAACAUUGCAGUUAUCCCUCAGAGAUUGUGAUAGCGAUGGGUCAGAUAUGGACUAUGAGGGGGAGACAGGCCAUUUGCCAGCAAGGCUGUUGAAUGUAUAUGCUGAACCUAUGCAAACUGAUCAUGACAGGAAAAACGUUAUCAGUGAUGAUGACGAACCCCUCACCACCCCACACUCUCCUCCCUGAGACUGGGUUGGGUCAUGGGCCCAGUGUCGUUCUUGGUGUUGCAGAGCAAUCUCAGGUGCCUCAAAGUUGCAAGUUCCUUCAUGACAACUGUUGGAGGAAAUUAUAGUUGAAAUGAUUAAUUAUGUAUACAUUUAUUUAAGAACCAUUUUUCUUAAUACUAUUAUGUUAUGGUAUGAAAUGUAUGGGUUCUUGGUUAAGCUGUUACUGAAAAUGUAAGUAGAACGAAUUAAUUGUCUGUACCUUGUGGGUUUAAGGGAGAAAGGAGGGCAUAUAUAUUUUCUGACAGAUAAGAAUGGUCUUUGAUGUUCCAUUAGUGGAGGAGGAAAUGUCUUUUAGACAGAUUGGAAUGUUUGUUUUAUGAGGGGAGUAGAAGAAGAUCUCCAGACCUGAAGACACUGCACUAUUGUGGGGAUCGGAGAGAGUGUGUGAAACUGAUGACGUCAUUUUAUGUUCUCUCUUUAAAAUCAAAUGCUCUUUGUAUUUUGGGUCAGUACUCACUUGAAUUAAACGCUAUUACCUGACUUUUAA